AUUCAGCUGACGAGUCCAAUUCAGGACGAAACGUUCAUCCUGGAU
This is a non-coding RNA of Schistosoma curassoni, 45 nucleotides long. Lineage: Eukaryota; Metazoa; Platyhelminthes; Trematoda; Strigeidida; Schistosomatidae. The record is from Rfam.